GUGCGCGUCAUUAUUAGUGCGUAAAAUUUGUAAAACAUUGUGGUGUAAAUGUUUAAAAAGUUUUCCUAUCAUUACAGAAAAAAGUAGCCAAGUAAAACCGCAGCAAGGAUUACAGUGGCUUACAUUAGUUAAAAACCUAGUUACCUUAUAAACUAAAAGUUAAAAAAGAAAUAGUACGAUAAAAGUGGUUUACAAUACAAAAACCACAUACAGUGUAAAACCGCAGUCGACGAAACACAACAUUAAAAAGGUCCAAGAGGGCCUUUUUGUGUUUCUAUCCCAUUUGCUUAACAGCACGGCGCAGCAGAAAAACUAAACGGGCAGAAAGGAGCGGUCGGAAAGCCAAAAUCCGACUGACAAACACAUCAGCACGUCCCCUCGUGGUGAAUAACCAAACUACGGUGGUGACAUCCUGCAGAGGAUCGUGGGCUCUUCCGGGACGCCGGUAAAGAGCCUGUGAUACCCUGGGCGGUGCUGAAACAACCAGCCGUCCAGCCCUGCUCCAUAAAAUUUCGGCCAACAUCAACCGUACGCAAAAGGGUUCAGCGGAAGAAGAAACUUCAAUCGGCCGGCCAAAAUGUGCCUAAAAAAACCGCAAGUAUACCGUGUGACGUUAUUGUGAAGAAACACAUUUAGGGAAACCAAGUUUAUAAAUAAACC
Long non-coding RNA from Uranotaenia lowii, 660 nucleotides. RefSeq lists it as uncharacterized. The transcript has 3 exons. The record is from RefSeq and is a predicted model, not a curated record. NCBI's taxonomy places the organism in Eukaryota, Metazoa, Arthropoda, Insecta, Diptera, Culicidae.